RNAcentral lists this ribosomal RNA (482 nucleotides) under uncultured bacterium. RNAcentral describes it as "partial 16S ribosomal RNA". It matches the Rfam family "Bacterial small subunit ribosomal RNA", at positions 30 to 507 of the family's 1533-position model. The record is from RNAcentral.
AUUGAACGCUGGCGGCAUGCUUUACACAUGCAAGUCGAACGGUAACAGGCCGCAAGGUGCUGACGAGUGGCGAACGGGUGAGUAAUGCAUCGGAACGUGCCCAGUCGUGGGGGAUAACUACUCGAAAGAGUAGCUAAUACCGCAUACGAUCUAUGGAUGAAAGCGGGGGACCGUAAGGCCUCGCGCGAUUGGAGCGGCCGAUGUCAGAUUAGGUAGUUGGUGGGGUAAAGGCUCACCCAGCCAACGAUCUGUAGCUGGUCUGAGAGGAAGAGCAGCCACACUGGGACUGGAACACGGCCCAGACUCCUACGGGAGGCAGCAGUGGGGAAUUUUGGACAAUGGGCGCAAGCCUGAUCCAGCAAUGCCGCGUGCAGGAAGAAGGCCUUCGGGUUGUAAACUGCUUUUGUACGGAACGAAACGGCUCUGGUUAAUACCCGGGGUUAAUGACGGUACCGGAAGAAUAAGCACCGGCUAACUACGUG